Molecule: non-coding RNA, 1039 nt
Organism: Notolabrus celidotus (New Zealand spotty)
Lineage: Eukaryota; Metazoa; Chordata; Actinopteri; Labriformes; Labridae
Source: the annotation of a RefSeq genome assembly
ACCGGCAAUAUUUAACUGCAGACAUAAAGAUCAGAGCUUGAGCGUCAUCCUCUGGUACAAACAGUUAGAGGACGGACAGAUGCAGUUCCUGGGAUACAUGACUGGAGAUCAAGAAGUUCCUGAAAAAGGAGUUAAUGUGAAGAUAACAGGGAGUGCCGAGAAAGAUCAGACCUGCACAUUAACAAUCAAAGAAGUGGAUCUGAACAGCAGUGCAGUGUAUUUCUGUGCUGCUAGUCUCCACAGUGCUGCAUGUCACCACUCAUCAGUACAAAAACCUCCCUUUAUCUCUAAGACACAGCUCACAGCCUCUUCAACUUAUUGGGCGUUAUUACCAAACCUGUGGUGACAGCUGACAUGAUGACUGUGAUGUGAAGAGGAGGAGGAAGCAGCUCAGACUCCUCCCACCUCAUCACUCUGUCUCCUUUUCUGAAAGGACGUCUUAGUGGCUGCUCUGACACAGGAGACACAACAUGAUCAUCUUAUUCCUGAUCAUUCAUUUCAACAUCUUUCUGGUGUCAGGUUCCUCUCCUGGUAAAAAGGUCACCCAGACUCCAGCUCACGUUUACAUCAAACCAGGAGACAAAACAGCCACACUCAACUGCAGACAUGAAAUUCAAGGCUAUAAUUAUAUCCUCUGGUACAAGCAGUCAGAUGGACAGAUGCAGCUCCUGGGAUAUAUGGCAGUGAGCGCUCCAAACCCAGAGCCAGGCGUGAAGGUGACAAUGGGAGGGAGUGCAGCUGAAAACAAGACCUGCACAUUAACAAUUGAAGAAGCCGACCUGAACAGCAGUGCAGUGUAUUUCUGUGCUGCUAGUCUCCACAGUGCUGCAUGUCACCACUCAUCAGUACAAAAACCUGCUCUCCACAUUUUAUCAUCUCUGUCGGCUCACAGCCGCCCUCACACCUGCAACAAGCCUCUUCAUUUAAAUCUCUGAUCUCUGUGAAUAAUAGAGCAGUGGUUGUUGAAACCACCGCUCUGAAAGAAGUGUUCCUCUCUCUCCUCCUCCACGCCUUUAGAACCUCCAGACUGGACUACUGC